UCUAGUGGCGGACGGGUGAGUAACGCGUGGGUAACCUGCCUUAUACAGGGGGAUAACAGUCAGAAAUGACUGCUAAUACCGCAUAAGCGCACAGAGCUGCAUGGCUCGGUGUGAAAAACUCCGGUGGUAUAAGAUGGACCCGCGUUGGAUUAGCUAGUUGGUGAGGUAACGGCCCACCAAGGCGACGAUCCAUAGCCGGCCUGAGAGGGUGAACGGCCACAUUGGGACUGAGACACGGCCCAGACUCCUACGGGAGGCAGCAGUAGGGAAUUUUCGUCAAUGGGGGGAACCCUGAACGAGCAAUGCCGCGUGAGUGAGGAAGGUCUUCGGAUCGUAAAGCUCUGUUGUAAGAGAAAAACGACAUUCAUAGGGAAUGAUGAGUGAGUGAUGGUAUCUUACCAGAAAGUCACGGCUAACUACGUGCCAGCAGCCGCGGUAAUACGUAGGUGGCGAGCGUUAUCCGGAAUGAUUGGGCGUAAAGGGUGCGUAGGUGGCAGAACAAGUCUGGAGUAAAAGGUAUGGGCUCAACCCGUACUGGCUCUGGAAACUGUUCAGCUAGAGAACAGAAGAGGACGGCGGAACUCCAUGUGUAGCGGUAAAAUGCGUAGAUAUAUGGAAGAACACCGGUGGCGAAGGCGGCCGUCUGGUCUGUUGCUGACACUGAAGCACGAAAGCGUGGGGAGCAAAUAGGAUUAGAUACCCUAGUAGUCCACGCCGUAAACGAUGAGAACUAGGUGUUGGGGGAAUAACUCAGUGCCGCAGUUAACGCAAUAAGUUUCUCCGCCUGGGGAGUAUGCACGCAAGUGUGAAACUCAAAGGAAUUGACGGGGGCCCGCACAAGCGGUGGAGUAUGUGGUUUAAUUCGAAGCAACGCGAAGAACCUUACCAGGCCUUGACAUCCCUUGCAGAGGUAUAGAGAUAUAUCCGAGGUUAUCAAGGAGACAGGUGGUGCAUGGUUGUCGUCAGCUCGUGUCGUGAGAUGUUGGGUUAAGUCCCGCAACGAGCGCAACCCUUGUGAUAUGUUACUAACAUUGAGUUGAGGACUCAUAUCAGACUGCCGGUGAUAAACCGGAGGAAGGUGGGGAUGACGUCAAAUCAUCAUGCCCCUUAUGGCCUGGGCUACACACGUACUACAAUGGCGUCUACAAAGAGCGGCAAGCCUGUGAAGGCAAGCGAAUCUCAUAAAGGACGUCUCAGUUCGGAUUGAAGUCUGCAACCCGACUUCAUGAAGCUGGAAUCGCUAGUAAUCGCGAAUCAGCAUGUCGCGGUGAAUACGUUCUCGGGCCUUGCACACAAAGCCCGUCAA
RNAcentral lists this ribosomal RNA (1306 nucleotides) under uncultured bacterium. RNAcentral describes it as "bacterial SSU rRNA". It matches the Rfam family "Bacterial small subunit ribosomal RNA", at positions 91 to 1400 of the family's 1533-position model. The record is from RNAcentral.